GCUCUGAUCAGGCCCUACACCCAAACAAGGGCACUGCGUUCAUCCACCUCUGGCCUGCUCGCCUCCCUACCACUGAGGAAGUACAGUUCCCACUCAGCCCAGUCAAAACUGUUGCUCUGGCCCCCCAAUGGUGGAACAAACUCCCUCACGACGCCAGGACAGCGGAGUCAAUCACCACCUUCCGGAGACACCUGAAACCCCACCUCUUUAAGGAAUACCUAGGAUAGGAUAAAGUAAUCCUUCUCACCCCCCUUAAAAGACCUAGAUGCACUAUUGUAAAGUGGCUGUUCCACUGGAUGUCAUAAGGUGAAAGCACCAAUUUGUAAGUCGCUCUGGAUAAGAGCGUCUGCUAAAUGACUUAAAUGUAAAUGUUUACGAGGUUAUGUUUGGCAGCUGUAGAUCAGUGUCCUGUAGUCCUGGGGAUCCUGAAGGGGGGAACUUUUUAGUUCAUUAUAUUUUUUAAACAUUUUUUGCUUAUUUGAGUUUUUUACCCUUUGCAGUUCAUUUUGGUAUGUUAAUUUUCACUAAUACAUUUAGUCAUUUAUCAGACACUAUUAUCCAGAGUGACUUCAGAGCAUUAAACUAAAGGCAGAUAAACAACAACAUCCUGUAUCACAGUCAGAGGAAGUCAUCUGUUUCUGUUACCAUUACUGAGAGGGUUGUUGCUGUUGGGUUCUGCUACUGGCUAAUGUACUUCUGUAUGUUAAAAUACAAAAUACAUGCAUUUGAAUUAAAUACACUUCAAAAUACAAGUAUCUUGUUGUUUAUUUUUCAAACAUUGAUCUUUAUGUUAUUUUGUAAUUUGUAUUUUGACAUUUUUUCCCUUUUCCCUUGUUGUGAUCAAUGUAGUUUCCUCUUCACUUCAACCCAGAACAUGUGAUGACAUUAAAUCAAUGUGGAAAGCUGAUUGGAUUUGCAAGUCAACUACAUAAGAACAUUUCAUCUAGUGGCCGACAAUGAAUGCAACAACACUGGUUGGUGCUGCAUGUGUUUCUACAUGAUCCUCUCACUCCACCUUGUGGCCACAGAUGGAACAGCACUCCAGACUGACUGAAGAGGAGAAAGAGAUGGAGAGAGACGGAGAAAAACAAAGACAGGGGUACCAUGGUUCGAACAUUGAACAAUAUGGAGGAGCUGAG
Molecule: long non-coding RNA, 1139 nt
Organism: Oncorhynchus nerka (sockeye salmon)
Lineage: Eukaryota; Metazoa; Chordata; Actinopteri; Salmoniformes; Salmonidae
Exons: 3
Source: RefSeq, a predicted model, not a curated record